UUAUGCCUACGGGAGGCAGCAGUGAGGAAUAUUGGUCAAUGGGCGCGAGCCUGAACCAGCCAAGUCGCGUGAGGGAAGACGGUCCUAUGGAUUGUAAACCUCUUUUGUCGGGGAGCAAAAGACGCCACGCGUGGCGUUCCGAGAGUACCCGAAGAAAAAGCAUCGGCUAACUCCGUGCCAGCAGCCGCGGUAAUACGGAGGAUGCGAGCGUUAUCCGGAUUUAUUGGGUUUAAAGGGUGCGCAGGCGGACCAUCAAGUCAGAAGUGAAAGCCCGGGGCUCAACUCCGGGACUGCUUUUGAAACUG
RNAcentral lists this ribosomal RNA (305 nucleotides) under uncultured bacterium. Its description in RNAcentral is "bacterial SSU rRNA". It matches the Rfam family "Bacterial small subunit ribosomal RNA", at positions 333 to 635 of the family's 1533-position model. The record is from RNAcentral.